Molecule: ribosomal RNA, 450 nt
Filed under: uncultured bacterium
Lineage: Bacteria
Description: partial 16S ribosomal RNA
Rfam family: Bacterial small subunit ribosomal RNA
Source: RNAcentral
CCUACGGGUGGCUGCAGUAAGGAAUAUUGGUCAAUGGACGCAAGUCUGAACCAGCCAUGCCGCGUGGAGGAUGAAGGUCCUCUGGAUGGUAAACUUCUUUUAUUUGGGAAGAAACUCCCGAUUUCCAUCGGGAUUGACGGUACCAGAUGACUAAGCACCGGCUAACUCCGUGCCAGCAGCCGCGGUCAUACGGAGGGUGCAGGAUUUAUCCGGAUUCACUGGGUCGAAAGGGGUCAGGUAAGUCAAUGUAGAAAUCUCCGGGCUUAACCCGGAAACUGCCAUUGAUACUAUUUGUCUUGAAUACUCUGGAGGUGAGCGGAAUAUGUCAUGUAGCGGUGAAAUGCUUAGAUAUGACAUAGAACACCCAUUGCGAAGGCAGCUCACUACGGAAAUAUUGACGCUGAGGCACGAAAGCGUGGGGAUCAAACAGGAUUAGAUACCCCGGUAGUC